Molecule: ribosomal RNA, 497 nt
Filed under: uncultured bacterium
Lineage: Bacteria
Description: partial 16S ribosomal RNA
Rfam family: Bacterial small subunit ribosomal RNA
Source: RNAcentral
GAUGAACGCUGGCGGCGUGCCUAAUACAUGCAAGUCGAGCGAACAGACGAGGAUCUUGCUCCUCUGACGUUAGCGGCGGACGGGUGAGUAACACGUGUAUAACCUACCUAUAAUACUGGGAUAACUUCGGGAAACCGGAUCUAAUACCGGAUAAUAUAUUGAACCGCAUGGUUCAAUAGUGAUAUACGGUUUUUCUGUCACUUAUAGAUGGAUCCGCGCCGCAUUAGCUAGUUGGUAAGGUAACUGCUUACCAAGGCAACGAUGCGUAGCCGACCUGAGAGGGGGAUCGGCAAAACUGGAAGUGAGACACGGUAAAGACUCCUACGGGAGGAAGCAGUAGGGAAUAUUCCGCAAUGGGCGAAAGCCUGACGGAGCAACGCCGCGUGAGUGAUGAAGGUCUUCGGAUCGUAAAACUCUGUUAUUAGGGAAGAAAAAAUGUGUAAGUAACUAUGCACGUAUUGACGGUAACUAAUCAGAAAGCAACGGCUAACUACGUG